RNAcentral lists this transfer RNA (72 nucleotides) under Alphaproteobacteria bacterium. RNAcentral describes it as "tRNA-Thr". It matches the Rfam family "tRNA". Rfam says of the family: Transfer RNA (tRNA) molecules are approximately 80 nucleotides in length. Their secondary structure includes four short double-helical elements and three loops (D, anti-codon, and T loops). Lineage: Bacteria; Pseudomonadati; Pseudomonadota; Alphaproteobacteria. The record is from RNAcentral.
GCCCGGGUAGCUCAGUGGAAGAGCACCGCACUGGUAACGCGGAGGUCGGGAGUUCGAUUCUCCCCCCGGGCA